This 1590-nucleotide long non-coding RNA is filed under the name Brassica napus (rape). RNAcentral describes it as "long non-coding RNA (BNAP_LNC007342)". Lineage: Eukaryota; Viridiplantae; Streptophyta; Magnoliopsida; Brassicales; Brassicaceae. The record is from RNAcentral.
CGUCAUCCACCAGAACCAACCCUUCUCAGUUAGGACAAAGGAUCUCCUCCGUAGCAACGUUAGUGCUUAGUCUUAUGAUCCCAAUGGUGACAAUGGGAUUUGUAUGGCCAUGGACCGGUCCUGCAGCAUCAGCUACUCUUGCACCCUACCUCGUAGGCAUUGUCGUUCAGUUUGCUUUCGAACAGUACGCUAGAUACAGGAAGUCUCCAUCAUCUCUCACCAUCCCCAUCAUCUUUCAGGUAUGCAGCAAUGCAAUCUUCUUGCCAUAACAAAAUUUUCACUUUUGUAACGUUUUUUGAAAGGAUAUGUGUUUGGUUCUUUAGGUGUAUAGACUUCAUCAGCUGAAUAGAGCGGCACAGUUAGUGACAGCGUUGUUGUUCACGGUGAAAGGAGCAGAGGCAACGGUUAAUAAUCUGGAAAUCAAGAAAUCACUGGGUAUGCUUUUGAGUGUGAUACAGGUUUUGGGUAUGAUUUCAAUAUGGUCCAUCUCAAGCUUCCUCAUGUGGUUAUCACCACCACCACCUUCCCAAAACCAGUCUUGAAGAAUAAUUGUUAUGUUUUCAGUUUCUAAAGUGUAUAAUAACUUCACCUUUUGAUAGGUUUAUUUACAUUUGAAAGAUAAAUGGUUAUGGUUCUAGAGGUGUUUAUAUCAAACAUGUUUUCUUGGAAUGUUGAGUGAAUUUUUUUAAAACUGCAACAUGUUUUUCUAUUUAUAGUAAAUGAAUUUUCUUCCUAAAAAUAGGAAUGGUCUAUUUAUGGUAACUCCAGCCUCCUUAUCUGAAAGAAAGUCCAUACUGUUAUGUUCAAAUUGCUUUAGUAUCAGGUUUUGGUCGGAUAAACUUGAUCCAAUCAGUCUAACGUUUCCUUCAGAGACCAUAAACCAAGAGAAGUCUCUCAAAAGAGAGCUUAUUUGCCUCUUGCUACUUCAGAAGACGAUCCAGAAACACUAAGUCAACCCGAAGAUACACCUCGAGAUGAUAGUUCAUCUAUCCAACACAAUGGAAACGGUGGCAAACCGGGUUUCAUUUCGUUUUACAACCCUCGGAACAAGGCAGAGGGUCUCCUUCUCCCUCCUGAAGAAGCACAGAGCACAUGGGGACGCCUCCUCUGGCUCAUUGGUCCUACUGUCUUAGUCUCCUCCUUCACUCUACCUCCCAUUUACUUGCGAAGAAUCGUCUCAGCUGUUUUUGAAGACUCUUUACUCACAGGUUACCUCUCUUUCCAUCCCUCUCCCUUUACUUCUCAACUUGACACAACUUUCUAUUUGCAGACUUCCUCAUAUUGUUCUUCACUGAGGCUCUCUUCUACUGUGGAGUCGCCGCUUUUCUUCUGAUAACACACCGUUCGAAAACGUCAUCCACCAGAACCAACCCUUCUCAGUUAGGACAAAGGAUCUCCUCCGUAGCAACGUUAGUGCUUAGUCUUAUGAUCCCAAUGGUGACAAUGGGAUUUGUAUGGCCAUGGACCGGUCCUGCAGCAUCAGCUACUCUUGCACCCUACCUCGUAGGCAUUGUCGUUCAGUUUGCUUUCGAACAGUACGCUAGAUACAGGAAGUCUCCAUCAUCUCUCACCAUCCCCAUCAUCUUUCAG